RNAcentral lists this transfer RNA (64 nucleotides) under Plesiolebias aruana. RNAcentral's name for it is "tRNA-Tyr". It matches the Rfam family "tRNA". From Rfam's summary of the family: Transfer RNA (tRNA) molecules are approximately 80 nucleotides in length. Lineage: Eukaryota; Metazoa; Chordata; Actinopteri; Cyprinodontiformes; Rivulidae. The record is from RNAcentral.
UAAGGUGGCUGAGUAAAGUGAUGGAUUGUAGCUCCACUAAUAAAGGUUUAAAUCCUUUUCUUGC